CGGAGAGGGAGCAUGAGAAACGGCUACCACUUCUAAGGAAGGCAGCAGGCGCGCAAAUUACCCAAUCCUGACUCAGGGAGGUAGUGACAAGAAAUAACAAUAAACCGGCUUAUGCCGGUUUAAUUGGAAUGAGUACAAUUUAAACAUCUUAACGAGGAACAAUUGGAGGGCAAGUCUGGUGCCAGCAGCCGCGGUAAUUCCAGCUCCAAUAGCGUAUACUAAAGUUGUUGCAGUUAAAAAGCUCGUAGUUGGAUUUCUGCGGGGACGGAGCGGCCGGACGCAACUUGCGUCUCGAGCUAGCGCUUUCCCCGCAUCCUGCCGCGAACCGUGCUACCAUUAGUUUGGUGGCGCUGGGGAUCGGCUCGAUUACUUUGAGAAAAAUAGAGUGUUCAAAGCAGGCCACACGCCUUGAAUAAGUUAGCAUGGAAUAAUGACUAAGGACUUUGGUUCAUUUCGUUGGUGUUCGGGACUGAAGUAAUGAUUGAUAGGGACAGUUGGGGCGGUCCGUAUUCCAAAGCGAGAGGUGAAAUUCUUAGACCUUCGGAAGACGAACAGCUGCGAAAGCGUUCCGCAAGGAUGUUCCCUUUGAUCAAGAACGAAAGUUGGGGGAUCGAAGACGAUCAGAUACCGUCGUAGUCUCAACUAUAAACUAUACCAGCUAGGGAUCGGCCAACGUUUAAUUAUUCGACUUGGUCGGCACCUUAUGAGAAAUCAAAGCAUCUGGGUUCCGGGGGGAGUAUGGUCGCAAGGCUGAAACUUAAAGGAAUUGACGGAAGGGCACCACCAGGCGUGGAGCCUGUGGCUUAAUUUGUCUCAACACGGGAAAACUUACCAGGUCCAGACAUAGGAAGGAUUGACAGAUUGAUAGCUCUUUCUUGAUUCUGUGGGUGGUGGUGCAUGGCCGUUUUUAGUCGGUGAAGUGAUUUGUCUGCUUAAUUGCGUUAACGGACGAGACCCCAGCCUGCUAAAUAGCGCGGCCGAGCUUUGCUCGGUACGAGCUUCUUAGAGGGACCAUGAUGCGCGAUAGCACAAGGAAGUUUGGGGCAACAACAGGUCUGUGAUGCCCUUAGAUGUUCUGGGCCGCACACGGGCUACACUGGCGCCUGCAACGAGCAUAUCAGCUGGCCCGAGAGGGUCUUGGCUAAUCUUUGGAACCGGCGCCGUGCUUGGGAUUGACCAUUGCAAUUGUUGGUCAUGCAACGAGGAAUGCCUUGUAAACGCGAGUCAUCAGCUCGCGUUGAAUACGUCCCUGCCCUUUGUACACACCGCCCGUCGCUCCUACCGAUGAAUGUUCCGAUGAAAUUUUCGGAGAGCGCCGGAGAACGGGGCUCUGCCCUGCAGAACUGGAGGCUCAAAGUCACUUAAAUCUGAACAUUUCGAGGAAGGAGAAGUCGUAACAAGGUAACC
RNAcentral lists this ribosomal RNA (1407 nucleotides) under uncultured Rhizaria. Its description in RNAcentral is "SSU rRNA". It matches the Rfam family "Eukaryotic small subunit ribosomal RNA", at positions 384 to 1804 of the family's 1831-position model. The record is from RNAcentral.